GCGCCGAAAAUGUACCGGGGCUAAACAUAUUACCGAAGCUGUGGAUUGUCCUUUGGACAAUGGUAGGAGAGCGUUCUAAGGGCGUUGAAGCAUGAUCGUAAGGACAUGUGGAGCGCUUAGAAGUGAGAAUGCCGGUGUGAGUAGCGAAAGACGGGUGAGAAUCCCGUCCACCGAUUGACUAAGGUUUCCAGAGGAAGGCUCGUCCGCUCUGGGUUAGUCGGGUCCUAAGCUGAGGCCGACAGGCGUAGGCGAUGGAUAACAGGUUGAUAUUCCUGUACCACCUAUAAUCGUUUUAAUCGAUGGGGGGACGCAGUAGGAUAGGCGAAGCGUGCGAUUGGAUUGCACGUCUAAGCAGUAAGGCUGAGUAUUAGGCAAAUCCGGUACUCGUUAAGGCUGAGCUGUGAUGGGGAGAAGACAUUGUGUCUUCGAGUCGUUGAUUUCACACUGCCGAGAAAAGCCUCUAGAUAGAAAAUAGGUGCCCGUACCGCAAACCGACACAGGUAGUCAAGAUGAGAAUUCUAAGGUGAGCGAGCGAACUCUCGUUAAGGAACUCGGCAAAAUGACCCCGUAACUUCGGGAGAAGGGGUGCUCUUUAGGGUUAACGCCCAGAAGAGCCGCAGUGAAUAGGCCCAAGCGACUGUUUAUCAAAAACACAGGUCUCUGCUAAACCGUAAGGUGAUGUAUAGGGGCUGACGCCUGCCCGGUGCUGGAAGGUUAAGAGGAGUGGUUAGCUUCUGCGAAGCUACGAAUCGAAGCCCCAGUAAACGGCGGCCGUAACUAUAACGGUCCUAAGGUAGCGAAAUUCCUUGUCGGGUAAGUUCCGACCCGCACGAAAGGCGUAACGAUUUGGGCACUGUCUCAACGAGAGACUCGGUGAAAUCAUAGUACCUGUGAAGAUGCAGGUUACCCGCGACAGGACGGAAAGACCCCGUGGAGCUUUACUGUAGCCUGAUAUUGAAAUUCGGCACAGCUUGUACAGGAUAGGUAGGAGCCUUUGAAACGUGAGCGCUAGCUUACGUGGAGGCGCUGGUGGG
Molecule: ribosomal RNA, 1034 nt
Filed under: Staphylococcus aureus
Lineage: Bacteria; Bacillati; Bacillota; Bacilli; Caryophanales; Staphylococcaceae
Description: partial 23S ribosomal RNA
Rfam family: Bacterial large subunit ribosomal RNA
Source: RNAcentral